CAGCCGCCGCGGUAAUACCGGCGGCCCGAGUGGCGGUCACUAUUAUUGGGCUUAAAGCGUCCGUAGCCGGGUUGGGAAGUCCUCCGGGAAAUCUGGCCGCUUAACGGUCAGAAUGCCGGAGGAUACUCCCAGCCUAGGGAGCGGGGGAGGCCGAGGGUAUUCCCGGAGUAGGGGGGAAAUCCUAUAAUCCCGGGAGGACCACCUGUGGCGAAGGCGCUCGGCUGGAACGCGUCCGACGGGGAGGGACGAAGGCCAGGGGAGCAAACCGGAUUAGAUACCCGGGUAGUCCUGGCUGUAAACGAUGCGGACUUUGUGUCGGACAAGCUAUGAGCUUGUCCGGUGCCGGAGGGAAACCGUUAAGUCCGCCGCCUGGGGAGUACGGCCGCAAGGCUGAAACUUAAAGGAAUUGGCGGG
This 414-nucleotide ribosomal RNA is filed under the name uncultured microorganism. RNAcentral's name for it is "bacterial SSU rRNA". It matches the Rfam family "Archaeal small subunit ribosomal RNA", at positions 459 to 872 of the family's 1478-position model. The record is from RNAcentral.